GGAAAAUGCGGUGCUAAUACAUGCAGUCGAGCGGAUGUGAGGAACUUGCUCCUCGAUGUUAGCGGCGGACGGGUGAGUAACACGUGGGCAACCUGCCUGUAAGACUGGGAUAACUUCGGGAAACCGGAGCUAAUACCGGAUAAUGCUUUUGAACUCAUGUUCGAAAGCUGAAAGAUGGUUUCGGCUAUCACUUACAGAUGGGCCCGCGGCGCAUUAGCUAGUUGGUGAGGUAACGGCUCACCAAGGCAACGAUGCGUAGCCGACCUGAAAGGGUGAUCGGCCACACUGGGACUGAGACACGGCCCAGACUCCUACGGGAGGCAGCAGUAGGGAAUCUUCCGCAAUGGACGAAAGUCUGACGGAGCAACGCCGCGUGAGUGAUGAAGGUUUUCGGAUCGUAAAACUCUGUUGUUAGGGAAGAACAAGUACCGGAGUAACUGCCGGUACCUUGACGGUACCUAACCAGAAAGCCACGGCUAACUACGUGCCAGCAGCCGCGGUAAUACGUAUGUGGCAAGCGUUGUCCGGAAUUAUUGGGCGUAAAGCGCGCGCAGGCGGUUCCUUAAGUCUGAUGUGAAAGCCCACGGCUCAACCGUGGAGGGUCAUUGGAAACUGGGGAACUUGAGUGCAGAAGAAAAGAGCGGAAUUCCACGUGUAGCGGUGAAAUGCGUAUAGAUGUGGAGGAACACCAGUGGCGAAAGGCGGCUCUUUGGUCUUGUAACUGACGCUGACGCGCGAAAGCGUGGGGAAGCAAAACAGGAUUAGAUACCCUGGGUAGUUCCACGCCCGUAAACGAUGAGUGCUAAGUGUUAAAGGGAUUCCGCCCUUUACUGCUGCAGCAAACGCAUUAAGCACUUCCGACUGGGCAGUACGGCUGCAAAGCUGAAGACUCAAAAGCAAAUAGACAGUGGACCCGGCACAAGCGCUGUAGCAUGUAGAUUUAUUUCGAGAUCAACGCGACAACAUACAGUCUGACAUCGUCUGCCUACCUAACAUAGCGUCGCCUCGCGGACGAAGUGACAGUAGUGCAUGAUGAUCGUCGCCUCCCGUCCUGGAAAGAUUGAUUAAUUCACACAAGCACAUUGACGUAUUGCAGCAAUAUAGCUGCAGAUAUGCCAUGCGACUAGAAA
RNAcentral lists this ribosomal RNA (1130 nucleotides) under Bacillus sp. (in: firmicutes). Its description in RNAcentral is "bacterial SSU rRNA". It matches the Rfam family "Bacterial small subunit ribosomal RNA", at positions 28 to 1158 of the family's 1533-position model. The record is from RNAcentral. Lineage: Bacteria; Bacillati; Bacillota; Bacilli; Caryophanales; Bacillaceae.